This 714-nucleotide ribosomal RNA is filed under the name Bacillus thuringiensis. Its description in RNAcentral is "bacterial SSU rRNA". It matches the Rfam family "Bacterial small subunit ribosomal RNA", at positions 63 to 763 of the family's 1533-position model. The record is from RNAcentral. Lineage: Bacteria; Bacillati; Bacillota; Bacilli; Caryophanales; Bacillaceae.
CAAGUACAGAGAGCUUGCUCUCAAGAAGUUAGCGGCGGACGGGAUGAGUAACACGUGGGUAACCUGCCCAUAAGACUGGGAUAACUCCGGGAAACCGGGGCUAAUACCGGAUAAUAUUUUGAACUGCAUGGUUCGAAAUUGAAAGGCGGCUUCGGCUGUCACUUAUGGAUGGACCCGCGUCGCAUUAGCUAGUUGGUGAGGUAACGGCUCACCAAGGCAACGAUGCGUAGCCGACCUGAGAGGGUGAUCGGCCACACUGGGACUGAGACACGGCCCAGACUCCUACGGGAGGCAGCAGUAGGGAAUCUUCCGCAAUGGACGAAAGUCUGACGGAGCAACGCCGCGUGAGUGAUGAAGGCUUUCGGGUCGUAAAACUCUGUUGUUAGGGAAGAACAAGUGCUAGUUGAAUAAGCUGGCACCUUGACGGUACCUAACCAGAAAGCCACGGCUAACUACGUGCCAGCAGCCGCGGUAAUACGUAGGUGGCAAGCGUUAUCCGGAAUUAUUGGGCGUAAAGCGCGCGCAGGUGGUUUCUUAAGUCUGAUGUGAAAGCCCACGGCUCAACCGUGGAGGGUCAUUGGAAACUGGGAGACUUGAGUGCAGAAAGAGGAAAGUGGAAUUCCAUGUGUAGCGGUGAAAUGCGUAGAGAUAUGGAGGAACACCAGUGGCGAAGGCGACUUUCUGGUCUGUACUGACCUGAGGCGCGAAAGCGUG